Molecule: long non-coding RNA, 1188 nt
Filed under: Sus scrofa (pig)
Lineage: Eukaryota; Metazoa; Chordata; Mammalia; Artiodactyla; Suidae
Description: lncRNA (ENSSSCG00070029525.1)
Source: RNAcentral
GGGCGGGCGGGCGGGCGGCCGGGCGGCGCGUCUCUGCCGCGCUCGCGUCCCGACGGCCACCUCCCGGCGGCUGCGCGCAGCCAGCGCGGAGACAGGACCCGGGCCCUGAUUGGUGCAGUGAGUGAGUCUCCGGCUUUAUUUAUACAACCUCUUCUGCACGAUUCGACUUCGUCGGAGUUGAGAGCUGGGGCCCGCCCGGAAGCAGCCUUCUCGAAUGGGAAGGAGGAGGACAAACCAGGCCCUCGUACCACCUGGCUUCGAGCAUCCUUGCAUGGGCCAUUUUCACGGGCGCUUCUGUAUCGAGCAUCCACCCAGCGUGGGGCGUGAUUUUCAGAAACCUCCAGAGAAGCACCAGACGCGGGACCCCUCGCAAGGGCCGGGCGGCCGAAGGCUGUGAUGGGAGCCUAGGGAAGCUGUGUCCCGGCCCUGACUUUGGACUGCCUGCUCUGAAUCUUGGACACCUGUCUGGAAAGCCGAGGCUGCUUUUCCAACCAGGGGUCCCCAGAGGCUGAAAGUGGCUGCUCUCCCGAGGCGUCCCUGCCAGGCCUGUGGGAGAGACACAGCUCCGGCAAAGAAGCUCGGUGAGUGCCCUUGAUCUCCUCCAGAUGCUCACGGCUCGCCGUGUUCGGAGGGCUGUGCUAAGCACUCUUCCUAUUUAUAGAAAGACAGGGAGGCUGCUCCUCUGUAGUAACUGCAAUGCCAGGGGCGGCGGCUGCAAAUAAUGGGACUUGGUGGUGUCUGCCAAAGGGACCGAGGGGGAGUGUGGGUGUGGCUGGCCGCGGAGAAGAGGGCCUAUUAAGGCCAGUGACCCAAUGCAUCACACAUGAGCGUCAUCCCCGUGGUCUUGGAAAGGUUCAUCUAGUGUAGGAUCUGGGUUCUUGCUGGCUUUCUCAUCGACCUCAGCUUUCCUUUAGGGUAGACUUCGUUUAGGUGGGCAGCCCAUUCCACCUGCGGCUGUGGUGGGUACCUUCUGCUCAUCUCACAAUGCCCCCCCGCCGCGCCCCCGCCCAAGUCCUUGGUAUUUCUGCAGCCUUCCCCACUCAAGAGUCAAAGCCCAGGUGUGGAAUUCCAUUCAAUCCAACCUCCAAGGAUGACUCUCUCAUCUAUAGAAUGAUCCACAUUGCCUGCUGGUAAAGGUGGACUUUUCUUUCUUUUUUCUAAUAAAUCAAUAGAGUAGGAGUUCCCGCA